ACUGUCCACAAUUCUUUUACUCCAAGCUAUUUUUUACAUAAAAAAGAACACCUACGGUACUUACAGCUCCAGUGUCAAAGCUCUGAAAGUGACUAAAAGCGGAAGCGAUACAGCUCAUUGAUUCUUGUGUGUAUGCUGCAAGCCAUGUAGAAGUGCACUUGACUACACUGCAUUUUAGAGUAGCCAGCUAUUUUCAGUAGCUAAAUAUGUGACUAGUCAGUAAGGCAGUUCUAACAUCAUUCUGAAUGUCUGCAGUAUCUGACAAAUGCAUUAUUAGUUUUAUGUAAUGUUUUGCCACUUUUGCGGUGGGUCUGAUAUGACUUACUGGAUAUGGCACAGUGAACAGAAAGGAUAUUUAUUGGGCAAACACAGUUUUUAACCUGACCUUAUUUCUCUAAAUUACUGCUGUGGUAGCUGGUUUGUGUUUCAUAGGUUGGAUGCUUUCCACCCUUUGGCUCACUGUAGAAUGUGCUAACCACGAGUAGUUCCUCCGUAUUGCUUGUGUAUGAAGAGUUACUUUCAUUGUUGAGUAAAGAACUUUCUUUAGCAAGCUGUCAGAUAAACUCAAAACCCCAAACGGAAGAAGUUCGGAAAACAGCAUCAAGAAAAUUUCAGCCCUGUCCGUGGCUACAUGCCAGCCAUGGGCAUCCUUACAAGCUGCCAGUCAGACACUGUCUCAGGCUUGUGUUCAGUCGUCUCUGUCCAGAAUACUGCGGUAUGCCAGACUGUGGACUAGAAGAAGUUGUUGCAACUGCUGAAGCAAUACUCUCCAAACUUAAGAGAGGAAAGACAGCAGUUUUUGGACUUUGUAUUGUGAUGAAGAGGUCUACAUCAGAUGAUGAAAAACAACAGCAUGAAAUACCUAAGCAAAAAUGAAGCCACAAGGAUGCUUUUUGUUCUGUUACUCUCUAUUUACGAUCUUCUGCCGCCAAAAGAUGUAGGCUGCCUGAUUUUUCUGCCCAUAAAGAAGAAUUCUAACUACAGUUUGUCCAUAGAUUCAGGUGCUGGUGACUUACUAAACAUGUUUCACUACUGACUGGUCUAGUACUUAAAAUGUCACUCUUCUUAAUAACCUUAGACUAAAGCCCAUUGUUAUGAGGGCAGGCAAACUGCUGAACCUGUUACAAAAAUCUGUGUUUGUCAGGCUAAUCCAGACCUGAUUAUUACGGUGAAUCUCUAAGCAGAAACUGGCAAAAGGAGCUGCCAGUUGUUCACAGCAUAGCAUGACUCCCUUGAGGAAAACUGUACAGUACCUUUUGCUUCAACUAGAAAUGAUGCCCACAGGGUUUGUGGUUUAGACACAAUCUGUUGGGUAGAUGUAAUCAACAUCAUUUAAACUUCACAUAGACUACACACUAGGGGAAACAAUCCUAGGAUAACUUUCCCCCUCCCCCCAACAAGCUGAGAGCAUAGAUGUCUAUUACUAUGAUAACUAGGGGACAAAGAUUAAGGACCUCUCAAAGCCAGGACGCUUCCCUGAGAGUCCUCUUCUCUCAGGCAGAGGAAAGAAAGGCACUUUGGCCAACUUUUAGUUUACUAGAAGAGCCACAUGAAAAUACCAGAUACACAAGGGAAAUGAUCUUUAAUUACCUGAAUAUGGAAUUUACUUAUAUAGUGUGCACAAAUAAUACAGCAUGGAAAAUCUGGGUAAGUGAGAAUAGUGAAGUGAAGCAAAACUCGUGAAGUUAAACAAAAUGCAGUUAAAGACACUUUAUUUUGCCUGCCACCAUACACAAAUAAUUAAAUAAUAAAAGCUGAUUUAUCAGAGCACUUCACAUUCUUGUACCCAGUCAUUUAAUGCUGAAAAAAAAAUUAAACUCCUUCAAACAGGAAACAGUAGUCAAGUGAUCUUUCUGUGAGCAACAGUUUCAGAUACGAGGAAAAAGAUGUACCUAACUUAAUAGCCAGAAUAAAAUCUGGACAGCCUUUCAUUCAAACAAGGGGUUGUAGGUCACAUUGAGUGUUGUAGAGACACAGAACACUUCUGAAAUAUAAAGUUCCUACCUUAAUACAUGUAUAAUCCAAUCCAGGAGCAAAUGCAAACCUAGUCUGUAUGACAAUCAGUUUUACAACACAUGGAACACGCACACUGGGUUAAUUAAAGACUAAAAACACUUUUAAAGUGAAUAAAAACGAAAAUGGAAUGUAAUUAGACUUGCCUUAAACAUCCAGGUGCUAACAUAGGACUUAUUCUUCAUAAUUCUAUCCAGAUCCUUGAUAUGUUGGUGUCUUUUCUCUAACGGUUGUACAUAGACAAUAAC
Long non-coding RNA from Rhea pennata, 2261 nucleotides. RefSeq lists it as uncharacterized. The record is from RefSeq and is a predicted model, not a curated record. The transcript has 4 exons. NCBI's taxonomy places the organism in Eukaryota, Metazoa, Chordata, Aves, Rheiformes, Rheidae.